RNAcentral lists this ribosomal RNA (481 nucleotides) under uncultured bacterium. Its description in RNAcentral is "partial 16S ribosomal RNA". It matches the Rfam family "Bacterial small subunit ribosomal RNA", at positions 30 to 506 of the family's 1533-position model. The record is from RNAcentral.
AUUGAACGCUGGCGGCAUGCCUUACACAUGCAAGUCGAACGGUAACGGGCCUUCGGGUGCCGACGAGUGGCGAACGGGUGAGUAAUACAUCGGAACGUGCCCGAUCGUGGGGGAUAACGAGGCGGAAGCUUUGCUAAUACCGCAUACGAUCUACGGAUGAAAGCAGGGGACCGCAAGGCCUUGCGCGGACGGAGCGGCCGAUGGCAGAUUAGGUAGUUGGUGGGAUAAAAGCUUACCAAGCCGACGAUCUGUAGCUGGUCUGAGAGGAUGAUCUGCCACACUGGGACUGAGACACGGCCCAGACUCCUACGGGAGGCAGCAGUGGGGAAUUUUGGACAAUGGGCGCAAGCCUGAUCCAGCCAUGCCGCGUGCAGGAUGAAGGCCUUCGGGUUGUAAACUGCUUUUGUACGGAACGAAAAGCCUUCUUUUAAUACAGGAGGGUCAUGACGGUACCGUAAGAAUAAGCACCGGCUAACUACGU